Non-coding RNA from Podarcis lilfordi (Lilford's wall lizard), 69 nucleotides. The record is from the annotation of a GenBank genome assembly. NCBI's taxonomy places the organism in Eukaryota, Metazoa, Chordata, Lepidosauria, Squamata, Lacertidae.
GCUGUAGCUCAUUGACAGAGCAUUUGACUUGCAUGCAAAAGGUCCCAAGUCCAAUCCCUGGCAUCUCCA